This 410-nucleotide long non-coding RNA is filed under the name Citrus sinensis (sweet orange). RNAcentral describes it as "long non-coding RNA (CSIN_LNC005601)". The record is from RNAcentral. Lineage: Eukaryota; Viridiplantae; Streptophyta; Magnoliopsida; Sapindales; Rutaceae.
AAAAAAAAAUCAAAAAAAAAGAAGAAGAAGAAAAAAUGUUUUUAAUUUUGUUAUAUCUAGAAACCCGAGUAAUUAAGUCCGUAGGGGUGUUUCAACACCUAGUGCCCUAAGGUCAACUGGUCUGGGAGUCACUAGCCUAAAGCUCGCUACAUGGGUAAUAGAUAUAUUGUUUGUUUAUUAGAAACCCGAGUAAUUAAGUCCGUAGGGGUGCUUCAACACCUAGUGCCCUAAGGCCAACUGGUCUGGGAGUCAUUGACCUAAAAAUGUGUGAAUAAUCUAUUGCCUAAAGAUAUAAUUUCUAAUGAAUUUUAGAACGAAAAUGUUGUUUUUCUUUUAAUGAAGCCCCAUAAGUAUUGUGUUAAUUACUUGAGCACAAAAGAAGGUUUGAUGAUAUUCUGGAUAAUGAGUGA